GCUGCUAUAGGCCUAGACUAUCGGGGGAUUUCCCAUGGUGCACUGAGCUACUCUCUUCCUCUCUCUUUCUGCACUCAUUCAUGUCCCUUUAAUGCAUGUUACUAACUCCACUUCUUCCCCGGAGUUCUUGUGCUUUCUCGUCUCGCAGGUUCUCAUGGAUCCUGGUGGAGCCUCCUGCCAUGGUCCAGCUUGACUGCCAUUGCCAAUACUGUUGUUGCUGUGCACCUGUCUGUCUGUCUGUCGCUCUCUCUCUCUCUCUCUCUCACCCCAACUGGUCGAGACAGACGACCACCCACCUAGAGCCGGAGGAUCUGUCCUAGGUUUCUGCCUUUUAACAGGCAGUUUUUCCUUGCCCUUGUCGCCAAGUGCUUGCUCAUGGUGGUACUGUUGGGUCUCUGUAAUUAAUGUUAAAGAGUUCGGUCUAGACCUGCUCUAUUUGAAAAGUGUCCUGAGAUAACUUCUGUUAUGAGUUGGCGCUAUACAAAUAAAAUUGAAUUGAAUUGAA
Dicentrarchus labrax (European seabass) is the source of this 505-nucleotide long non-coding RNA. RefSeq lists it as uncharacterized. The record is from RefSeq and is a predicted model, not a curated record. The transcript is spliced from 2 exons. Lineage: Eukaryota; Metazoa; Chordata; Actinopteri; Moronidae.